GAUGAACGCUGGCGGCGUGCCUAAUACAUGCAAGUCGAGCGAACAGACGAGGAGCUUGCUCCUCUGACGUUAGCGGCGGACGGGUGAGUAACACGUGUAUAACCUACCUAUAAGACUGGGAUAACUUCGGGAAACCUGAGCUAAUACCGGAUAAUAUAUUGAACCGCAUGGUUCAAUAGUGAAAGACGGUUUUGCUGUCACUUAUAGAUGUAUCCGCGCCGCAUUAGCUAGUUGGUAAGGUAACGGCUUACCAAGGCAACGAUGCGUAGCCGACCUGAGAGGGUGAUCGGCCACACUGGAACUGAGACACGGUCCAGACUCCUACGGGAGGCAGCAGUGGGGAAUCUUCGGCAAUGGGCGAAAGCCUGACGGAGCAAUGCCGCGUGAGUGAUGAAGGUCUUCGGAUCGUAAAACUCUGUUAUUAGGGAAGAACAAAUGUGUAAGUAACUAUGCACGUCUUGACGGUACCUACUCAGAAAGCCACGGCUAACUACGUG
This 497-nucleotide ribosomal RNA is filed under the name uncultured bacterium. RNAcentral's name for it is "partial 16S ribosomal RNA". It matches the Rfam family "Bacterial small subunit ribosomal RNA", at positions 28 to 507 of the family's 1533-position model. The record is from RNAcentral.